This 439-nucleotide ribosomal RNA is filed under the name uncultured bacterium. RNAcentral describes it as "partial 16S ribosomal RNA". It matches the Rfam family "Bacterial small subunit ribosomal RNA", at positions 338 to 795 of the family's 1533-position model. The record is from RNAcentral.
CCUACGGGUGGCAGCAGUGGGGAAUAUUGCACAAUGGGCGAAAGCCUGAUGCAGCAACGCCGCGUGAGCGAUGAAGGCCUUCGGGUCGUAAAGCUCUGUCCUCAAGGAAGAUAAUGACGGUACUUGAGGAGGAAGCCCCGGCUAACUACGGGCCAGCAGCCGCGGUAAUACGUAGGGGGCUAGCGUUAUCCGGAAUUACUGGGCGAAAAGGUGGCGUAGGUGGUUUCUUAUAGCAGUGGGAAAAGGCUACGGCUCAACCGGAGUAAGCCUUUGAAACUGGGGAACUUGAGUGCAGGAAAGGAGAGUGGAAUUCCUAGUGUAGCGGUGAAAUGCGUAGAUAUUAGGAGGAACACCAGUUGCGAAUGCGGCUCUCUGGACUGUAACUGACACUGAGGCACGAAAGCGUGGGGAGCAAACAGGAUUAGAUACCCGUGUAGUC